GAGUUUGAUCAUGGCUCAGAUUGAACGCUGGCGGCAUGCCUUACACAUGCAAGUCGAACGGCAGCACGGGAGCUUGCUCCUGGUGGCGAGUGGCGAACGGGUGAGUAAUGCAUCGGAACGUAUCCUGGAGUGGGGGAUAACGUAGCGAAAGUUACGCUAAUACCGCAUAUUCUGUGAGCAGGAAAGCGGGGGACCUUCGGGCCUCGCGCUCUUGGAGCGGCCGAUGUCGGAUUAGCUAGUUGGUGAGGUAAAGGCUCACCAAGGCGACGAUCCGUAGCAGGUCUGAGAGGAUGAUCUGCCACACUGGAACUGAGACACGGUCCAGACUCCUACGGGAGGCAGCAGUGGGGAAUUUUGGGCAAUGGGGGCAACCCUGAUCCAGCCAUGCCGCGUGGGUGAAGAAGGCCUCGG
Molecule: ribosomal RNA, 411 nt
Filed under: bacterium enrichment culture clone ALO1_GLFRUDD03F34KU
Lineage: Bacteria
Description: bacterial SSU rRNA
Rfam family: Bacterial small subunit ribosomal RNA
Source: RNAcentral